Molecule: long non-coding RNA, 8459 nt
Filed under: Nicotiana benthamiana
Lineage: Eukaryota; Viridiplantae; Streptophyta; Magnoliopsida; Solanales; Solanaceae
Description: long non-coding RNA (NBEN_LNC036751)
Source: RNAcentral
UAGAAGUAAAUUGUAUAUAGAUGCCACUUGGAAUAUACAACUCAAUAUCUCAACUACUACAAUGCCAUCCUAAAACCCAAAAACUCACGGGAACACAAGCUAGAAGAGAAAUACAGUAAAGUUCUCUAAUCUCCAGAGUAUCGAAAUCAACAGUACAAUGGAAGGGCUAACACUACAUGACAGAAUAAAGAUGGAGACUCUUCAGUCUGCGGACGCGGCAGAAGUACCUCGAAGUCUCUAAAUGCUAUCCCUUCCUCAAAGGUAAUAUGCCUGAGUGUCGGUACCUGGAUCUGCACAUGGAAAACAUGUGCAUGAAGGGCAUGAGUACACCACUGCGUUACUCAGUAAGUGCCAAGCCUAACCUCGGUUGAGUAGUGACGAAGAAGGUCGGGGCCUACUGAGGUAAAAUAAUAAUAGAAAUGACAGGAUAAGAUAAAUAAUAUAAUUGAGAAUCUACAGCAAAAGUCUAUACAGAUAAUAAGAGUACAAUAACAGAAAAACAUAAAUAAAAGUAGAACACACGGAAAUGUUGCUCCCAACAAGAAUAAUAAUAACUUGGGAUCUCUUAGUAUCCCGGGGAUCUCUAUGUAUCCUCAAUGUAAAUGCCAUGGAUCUCUUGGUAUCUCGAGUAUCUCUUGGUAUCGUCAAUAUAAAUGUCAGGGAUCUCUUGGUAUCCUCAAUAUAAAUGCCAGAGAUCUCUUGGUAUCCCGAGUAUCUCUUGGUAUCCUCAAUAUAAAUUCCAGGGAUCUCUUAGUAUCCCGCACCUCGGUCCAAAUCAUAACUUCCAUACAGGGGAUCUCCCGGAAUUCCAUUUCGUAGUCCAAACAGUGACACACGAAUAUUAAAUUAGACGCCAACUUCGUAUAAAUAAAUAUUUAAUUCUAGCCAAACAUGUCGCACAUGAUGCAAUUAAGGUAGUUUAAGAAAAAUAGGCACAUUAAGUCAAUUAAACAUGCUCUUCUAACUAAGAACAUGUUAGUUAGCAAUUACAGUAAAGCAGGGGAAAGGGACAUGCUAAGAAAUACUUUAAGAAAAAAUGGAUUUUUCAACAACUUACACAAGCAAGCCCUUGUCACCUCACGCACAAGGCAACUAAGUUAUCAAAUAUCAUAUCCUAAGGGAAGGAGUUCCACACACAAGGUUAGACAAGCCACUUACCUCGAAUCGGCUCAAAGUCAACUAGAAAUCACGCCUUNNNNNNNNNNNNNNNNNNNNNNNNNNNNNNNNNNNNNNNNNNNNNNNNNNNNNNNNNNNNNNNNNNNNNNNNNNNNNNNNNNNNNNNNNNNNNNNNNNNNNNNNNNNNNNNNNNNNNNNNNNNNNNUCGACUCCAAAUGGCCCAAAUCUAUUCAACUCAAUUACAUAUCGUAAAUAACAUCUCAAACAACUGAUUCUACAAUUAAAUUCAAAGCUAAGACGAGAAAUUAGAAAAGUGACCAAAACGCCCCUCAAGCCAGCGUCUCGGAAUCAGAUGAAACUCAUAUUUUCAGAAACCUCAUAUUCUUACGAGUCUAUACAUAACAAGAACAAAACAAUCUGAGUUCAAAUGACCCCUCAAAUCCCAUAUUGAAAUUUAAAAAUCCCAAACCCUAAUUCUUCCCUUUUUAGUUAAAUUCCAUGAAUUUCUAGGUUAAUUUCACAGUAGAAUCACGUUUUUGGUUCAUAAAAUCCUCCAAUCGAUUCUCCUUGAAUCCCUCUUCAAUUCCCUUCAAAGAGCUCUCAAAAUACUCAACUAUGGUGGAAAAAUGGCUAAAACCCGCGGAUGAAAUGUUAUAAACUUUCUGCCCAACUCCUAUAAUUCCUUCUUCGCGAUCGUGGCCCAAGCCUCGCGAUCGCGACAAGCAAAAAUCCAAGGCUUAAAAAAUAUGCUAAACGAAUGCGACUCCGUGUUGCGAACGCGAUGCUUCGCUUAUUCAAAAUUCGAAAACGCGAGCCUCCAGCUGCGAACGCGAAGGGCAAUAGGCCUCUGGCCCUCAAAUCCUUCUAUGCGAAUGUGAAGGGUCUUAUGCGAACGCGGCUACAAUAUAACCUUUUGCGAAUGUGGUCCCCCAGACGCGAACGCGAUGAACAAAUUACAUUCCUUCCAAUUUUUCUUCUAUGCGAUUGCGACACCUCCAUCGCAAUCGCAAAGGCCAAAAAUACUGCAACCUAAGAACUGGAAAUCUGCAACUUUGAAACUUUAAAAGGUCCGUCUGACCAUCCAAUACUCACCCGAGGCCCCUGGGACCUCAACCAAAAGCACCAAAACGUCCUAAUACCUCAUUCAAACUUGUUUUAAUCCUCAAAACACCUCAAAUAACACCAAAACCAUCAAUUCAUAUCGAAUUCUAACCUAAGUUUUCUAAAAACUUCUAAAUUACGCUUUCGAUUAAAACAUAACCAAACCUUGUCCGAAUGACCUGAAAUUUUACACACACAUCCUAAAUGACAUGAGAGCUACUGCCACUCUCGAAAUUCUAUUCCGACCCUCGUAUCAAAAUCUCACCAACCAACCAAAAACUUCAAAAAUUCAAACUUCGGCAUUUCAAGCCUAGAUUAGCUGCAGACCUCCAAAACACAUUCCGAACAUGAUCCUAACCCCGAAAUCACCUAAUGAAGCUAACGAAACUAUCGAUUUCCAUUCUUUGGUCAUCUUCACACUAUUCCGACUAUGGAUAACUUUCCAACACUUAAGCUCUCAUUUAGGAACUAAGUGUCCCAAAUCUCUCCGAAACUCAAAACUGAACGUCCUGACAUGGUAAAGCACCUCCACCUACGACCGUUAGGCCCUGGGUUCGAGUCACCAGGGAGGGGAAGUGCAAAAGCACUAUAGAUCCUCCUAAUUUGGAGGGGUUAAAAAAAGAACGUCCCGGCAAAUCAAAUUAGCAAAAAUAAACUUGGAGAAAGCAAAUAACAAGGGAUCGGAGCGUUAAUUCUUAAGACGAUCGUCCGGGUCGUCAUAUCCUCCUACACUUAAACAUUCAUUCAUCCUCGAACGAGCAUAAAGACAUACCUUAAGUAGUGAAAAGACAAGGUUAACGGCUGCGCAUAUCCUGCUCGAUCUCCUAGGUUGCCUCAUCGGCUAGCUGACCCCGCCACUGAACCUUUACUGAAGCAAUGUUCUUUGACCUCAACUUUCGGAUAUGCCUGUCCAAUAUUGCAAUUGGCUCCUCAAUAUAAGAUAGAUCCCUGUCCAGCUAGACUGAACUAAAAUCCAACACGUGCGAUGGAUCACCGUGAUAUCACUGGAACAUCGAAACAUGAAAUACCAGAUGAACCCCUGCAAAGCUAGGAGGUAAGGCAAGCUUAUAAGCAACCUCCCCAACACACCUCAAUAUCUCAAAAGGGCCAAUGAACCUCGAACUCAACUUCCCUUUCUUUCCAAAUCUCAUAAUGCCUUUCAUAGGCGAAACUCGAAGCAAAACACGCUCUCCAACCAUAAAGGAAAUAUCACAAACCUUCGGGUCCACGUAGCUCUUCUGCCUUGACUAGGCUGUACGGAGUCUAUCCUGAAUUACCUUAACCUUCUACAAAGCAUCCUGAACCAAAUCUGUGCCCAAUAGCCUGGCCUCACCCGGCUAUAACCAACCCACCAGAGAUCUACAUCGCCUACCAUACAAGGCCUCAUACGGUGUUAUCUGAAUGCUGGACUAAUGUCUGUUAUUGUAAGCAAACUCUGCUAAUAGAAAGAAUUGAUCUCAAGACCCUCCAAACUCUAUCACGCACGCACAGAGCAUAUCCUCAAGAAUCUGAAUAGUGCGCUUAGACUGUCUGUCUAUGUGGGGGUGAAAUGUUGUGCUCAACUCCACUCGAGUACCCAGCUCCUGCUGAAUGGCCCUCCAUAAUCAUGAUGUGAACUGAGUGCCUUUGUCUGAAAUAAUAGAACCAGAAUACCAUGCAGGCGGACAAUCUCCCGAAUAUAAAUCACCGCCAACCGCUCCGAAGAAUAAGUGGUACACACAGGAAUAAAAUGAGCGGACUUGGUCAGCCGAUCCACAAUAACCCAGAUAGAAUCAAACUUAUUCAAGGUCUGUGGGAGUCCAACUACAACGUCCAUGGUGAUCCGCUCCAACUUCCACUCCGGAAUCUCUAUCUGCUGAAGCAACCCACCCAGUCUCUGGAGCUCGUACUUCACGUGGUGGCAGUUGAGGCAUCUAGCUAUAUAUCCAACUAUAUCAUUCUUCAUCCGCCUCCACCAAUAGUGCUGCCUCAAGUCCUGAUACAACUUCGUGGCACCCGGAUUAAUGGAAUACCGCAAACUGUGGGCUUCCUCUAGAGUCAGCUCCUAUUGACAUUGGGUACACAAACCCGACCCUGCAUCCUCAAUACUCCCUCCUCGCCAAUGGUCACCUCUCUGGCAUCACCAUCUUGAACCAUGUCCAUAAGGACAAGUAAAUAAGGGUCAUCAUACUUCCGCUCCCUGAUGCGAUCAAAAAAUGAGACCGAGAAACCACGCAAGCUAGAACUCGACUGGGCUCUGAAAGAUCCAAUCUCACAAACUCGCUAGCUAAGGCCUGAACAUCCAUCGCCAUAGGCCUCUUCGAUACUGGUAGAUAUGCCAAACUCCCCAAACUCUCCGCCCGACGACUCAAGGCAUAAGCCACUACAUUGGCCUUGUCCUAGUGAUAUAAGAUAGUCAUGUCAUAGUCCUUCAGCAACUCUAACCACCUCCUCUGGCACAAAUUUAGAUCCUUCUUCUUGAAAAAAUGCUGCAAACUCUUAUGACAAGUAUAAAUCUCAGAUGGCACACCGUAUAGAUAAUGGCGCCAAAUCUUCAGGGCGUGAACAAUGGCAGCUAGCUUAAGAUCAUGGACAUGAUAAUUCUUCUCGUGUAUCUUUAAUUGUCUGGACGCAUAGGUAAUCAACCUACCGUCCUGCAUCAAUACUGCUCCAACGCCAACUCUCGAGGCAUCACAAUAGACGGUAUAAGACCCUGAUCCUGUAGGCAAUACCAAAACAGGGGCUGUAGUCAAAGAUGUCUUGAGCUUUUGAAAGCUCGCUUCACACUCCUCUUUCCAUUGAAAUGGAGCACCCUUCUGGGUCAAUCUAGUCAUAGGGGCUGCAAUCGAUGGAAACCCCUUCACAAAAUGACGGUAGUAGCCCGCCAAGCAAAGAAAACUAUGAAUCUCUGUAGCUGAGGACGAUUUGGGUCAACUUGCAUAGCCUCUACCUUCUUCGGAUCUACCCGAAUGCCCUCACUCGAUACUACGUGGCCUAAGAACACCACUAAACCCAACCAAAACUCACAUUUUGAGAACUUUGCAUAUAACGUCUUCUCUCUCAGAGUCUGGAGCAUUGUCCUCAGGUGCUGCUCAAGAUCUUCCUAACUCCGGGAAUACACCAGAAUGUCAUCAAUAAAGACAAUGACAAAAGAAUCGAUAUAUGGCCAAAAUACAUUGUGCAUCAAAUGCAUGAAGGCUACUAGGGCAUUGGUCACCCAAAUAACAUAACAAUAAACUCGUAAUGGCCGUACCGAGUCUUAAAAGAAGUAUUUGGGAUAUCUGGCUCCCGAAUCUUCAAUUGAUGGUAAACUGAGCGCAAAUCAAUCUCAGAAAACACAUGUGUGCCCUGAAGCUGGUCGAACAAAUCAUCAAUACGAGACAGGAUAACGGUUCUUAAUCGUGACCUUGUUCAACUGGUGAUAAUCAAUACACAUACGCAUAGAACCAUCCUUUUUCUUCACACACAAGAUAGGAGUACCCUAAGGUGAAACACUACGCCAGAUAAAUCCCUUAUCAAGCAAUUCCUGUAACUGGCCCUUCAACUCAGGAGGAGCCAUACGAUAUGGGGGAAUAGUAAUGGGCUGAGCACCCGGCAACAAUUCAAUGCCAAAUUCAAUGUCUCUAUUAGGUGGCAUGCUCGGAAGAUAAGCUGGAAAUACAUCGGCAAAAUCUCGCACCACUGGGACCGAAUCAAUAGAAGGGGUAUCAGCAUUGACAUCUCAUACAUAAGCAAAGUACGUGGCACACCCCUUUUCAACUAUAUGUUGAGCUCUAAGAAAGGAGAUAACUCUACCGGGAGUGUGAUCUAAAGGACCACUCCACUCAAGACGCGGCACACCUGGCAGAGCCAGCGUCACCGUUUUAGCGUGACAAUCAAGAAUAGCAUAAUGGGGUGUCAACCUGUCCAUGCCCAAAAUAAUAUCAAAAUCAACCAUGCUGAGUAGCAAUAAGUCUGCUCUGGUCUCAAAAUUACGAAUAAUAACCAAACAUAACUGAUAAACGUGGUCCACAACAAGUGAAUCCCCUACAGGAGUAGAAACAUAAAUAGGGAAACUCAAAGAAUCCCGAGAUACACCCAAAUGCAAAGCAAAAUAGGAGGAAACAUAAGAGUAGGUAGAGCCUAGAUCGAGUAGAACCGAUGCAUCCCUGUGUCAAACCAAUAUAAUACCUGUGAUAACAAAAUCAGAGACAAUAGCCUCGGCACGAGCGAGAAGGGCAUAGUAUCUGGCUUGGCCUCCCUCUCGAUGGCGACCUCUACCUCCAUCUCUAGAUGGCUGAGUGAGUGGGGCGGCAACUGGAGCUGUAACCAUAGCUUGGGAACUCUGUGGGCACACUGUGGCUGGGAAGUCUACGGGAGUGCACUUCUCCCAAGUCUAGGGCAAUACCCUACCACUUGACGUUGUCACUACACUCAAAACAAGCUCUGAGGGGACAUGGUGGUUGUGAGUGGCUAGGGCUAGAUCUGCUGGACUGACAUCUGAAUGCACCCCGCACAGGAGGAGCACUAGAAACCGGACGUGCAUAGUAAGGCUCGUGAGGCCUAGGAGGAGCUGGAGCUGGAGCACUGCUAGCUGCUGGAAGAGCUGAAUGAACGGGGAAACCCAUAUAGCCCCGACCAUGACGACCUAUACGGGCACCAAAAUAGUGGCAUGACACUCGAGACCUCUUGGCCUCCCUCUUCUCUCUCCCUAGCAUGCAUACCAUCAAUCCUCCUAGCAAUGCUCACCACCUACUGAUAAGAAACAUCCAUCUCCAACUCACGAGCCAUGCUAGAUCUGAUGCUAGAAAUAAGACCCUCAAUAAACCGGCAAACCUUCUCGCGAACAGUAGCAACCAAGGCUAGUGCAUGCCUAGCCAAGCUGGUAUAACGAACAUCAUACUCUGAAACAGCAUAGCACCCUGGCUCAAAUGCUCAAACUCUGCGUGCCAUGUGUCCCUGAGGCUCUGAGGGACAUAUUCUCACAGGAACAGCUUUGAGAACUAAGCCCAAAUCAGCGAAGCAGCCUCACCUAGACCGUCUAACUUAUAGGUACGCCACCACUCAUAGGCGGCCCUUCGGAGUUAGAAGGUGGUGAACGAAACCCGUUGGAUGCUGAAAUACCCAUGGUACGGAGAAUGCGACAACACUCAUCAAGAAAACCCAAAGCGUCCUCCGAUGCUAGACCGCUGGAUACAGGAGGCUUGUACUUCUUAAACCUUUCAAGCCUCAACUGCUUAUCCUCGGAAGUUGUUGCCCUAUCCCGAGGCUGAUCUAGUAGUGCAGGCGGCGCAGGUAUAACCUCUGGGACCUACUCAACAUGCACUCGAUACUCCAGAAUGCAGGCGGUGGGAGUUUGUGCUCCUCUCCCGGCCUGGGAUGUGGCUGCAGCAAGGGGAAGCAACCCUGCCUGAACCAAGGUGGUGUAUAUAGUUACAUACUCAUGAACUAUGCUAGAGUCUCCUAGAGAGCUGGAGUAGUGGUAGCAGUAGUAGUAGUAGGCGUGUCAGGUGUCUGGAAUCCGAUUGGACUUGCUGGUGGUACCUCGACGGCGGAUCACGCAGGUGCUCUGGCUGCACUAUGUGCACGUCCUCGACCUCUACCCCGGCCCAGGCCUCUGGCGGCUGUAGUAGGGGGCGCGAGUGUCUGAUCAUCUCGAGUAGCACGUGUCAUCACCAUCUUUGAGAGAAUAGAAAGACACAAUUUUAGUUGUGAUAUCAAAAACCUCGCACGAUAAGGAAAUCAAAUGAAGUGAAAUUUUCCCAAACAUUAACAUAGCCUCUCGUAGAUAAGUGCAAACGUCUCCAUACCAAUCAGGAGACUCUAAUAAAUCGGCAUGUGUUCCAUGACUCCUAUGAACCUAGAGCUCUGAUACCAACUUGUCACGAACCUAGUUCCCCCUCUUUGAACAUGUCGUGACAGCACCUAGUCCCUACGACUAAGUAAUCCUAACAUUGCGAAAUAGUAUAACUUGCAGAACAUAAUAACUUAAAAUUGAACAGCUAGAAGUAAAUUGUAUAUAGAUGUUGCUUGGCAUAUACAACUCAAUAUCUAUGCCAUCCCAAAACCCGGAAACUCACAGGAACACAAGCAAGAAGAGAAUAACAGUGAAGUGCUCUAAUCUCCAGAGUAUCAAAAUCAACAGUACGAUAGAAGGGCUAACACUAUAAGACAGAAUAAAGAUGGAGACUUUUCGGUCUGCGGAUACGGCAAAAGUACCUCGAAGUCUCCAAAUGCUCUCCCUGUCUCAAGGGUAAUAUGCCUGAGUAGAGGUGCCUGGAUCU